Molecule: ribosomal RNA, 887 nt
Filed under: uncultured Bacillota bacterium
Lineage: Bacteria; Bacillati; Bacillota
Description: bacterial SSU rRNA
Source: RNAcentral
GAGUUUGAUCAUGGCUCAGGACGAACGCUGGCGGCACGCCUAACACAUGCAAGUCGAACGGAGAUAUUUUGGUUUACUGAGAUAUCUUAGUGGCGGACGGGUGAGUAACACGUGAGCAACCUGCCUCUGAGAGAGGGAUAGCUUCUGGAAACGGAUGGUAAUACCUCACAACAUAACGAAGCCGCAUGACUUUGUUAUCAAAGAUUUAUCACUCAGAGAUGGGCUCGCGUCUGAUUAGAUAGUUGGUGAGGUAACGGCCCACCAAGUCGACGAUCAGUAGCCGGACUGAGAGGUUGAACGGCCACAUUGGGACUGAGACACGGCCCAGACUCCUACGGGAGGCAGCAGUGGGGAAUAUUGCACAAUGGGGGAAACCCUGAUGCAGCGAUGCCGCGUGGAGGAAGAAGGUUUUCGGAUUGUAAACUCCUGUCUUAAAGGACGAUAAUGACGGUACUUUAGGAGGAAGCUCCGGCUAACUACGUGCCAGCAGCCGCGGUAAUACGUAGGGAGCGAGCGUUGUCCGGAAUUACUGGGUGUAAAGGGAGCGUAGGCGGGAUGGCAAGUCAGAUGUGAAAACUAUGGGCUCAACCCAUAGACUGCAUUUGAAACUGUUGUUCUUGAGUGAAGUAGAGGUAAGCGGAAUUCCUGGUGUAGCGGUGAAAUGCGUAGAUAUCAGGAGGAACAUCGGUGGCGAAGCGGCUUACUGGGCUUUUACUGACGCUGAGGCUCGAAAGCGUGGGGAGCAAACAGGAUUAGAUACCUGGUAGUCCACGCUGUAAACGAUGAUUACUAGUGUGGGGGGACUGACCCCUUYCCGUGCCGMAGUUACACGAUAAGUAAUCCMMCUGGGGARUACGGCCGCAAGGUUGAAYUCAAUGAAUKGMCGG